Molecule: ribosomal RNA, 253 nt
Filed under: uncultured bacterium
Lineage: Bacteria
Description: partial 16S ribosomal RNA
Rfam family: Bacterial small subunit ribosomal RNA
Source: RNAcentral
UACGUAGGGUGCAAGCGCUAUCCGGAAUUAUUGGGCGUAAAGAGCUCGUAGGCGGUUUGUCGCGUCUGCUGUGAAAACUGGAGGCUCAACCUCCAGCCUGCAGUGGGUACGGGCAGACUAGAGUGCGGUAGGGGAGAUUGGAAUUCCUGGUGUAGCGGUGGAAUGCGCAGAUAUCAGGAGGAACACCGAUGGCGAAGGCAGAUCUCUGGGCCGUAACUGACGCUGAGGAGCGAAAGCAUGGGGAGCGAACAGG